Molecule: ribosomal RNA, 497 nt
Filed under: uncultured bacterium
Lineage: Bacteria
Description: bacterial SSU rRNA
Rfam family: Bacterial small subunit ribosomal RNA
Source: RNAcentral
AUUGAGCGCUGGCGGCAUGCCUUACACAUGCAAGUCGAACGGCAGCACGGGGGGCAACCCUGGUGGCGAGUGGCGAACGGGUGAGUAAUGCAUCGGAACGUGCCCGGUAGUGGGGGGAUAACUCGGCGAAAGUCGAGCUAAUACCGCAUACGUACCGAGGUAGAAAGCGGGGGAUCGCAAGACCUCGCGCGAUUGGAGCGGCCGAUAUCAGAUUAGGUAGUUGGUGGGGUAAAGGCCCACCAAGCCAACGAUCUGUAGCUGGUCUGAGAGGACGACCAGCCACACUGGAACUGAGACACGGUCCAGACUCCUACGGGAGGCAGCAAGUGGGGAAUUUUGGACAAUGGGCGCAAGCCUGAUCCAGCAAUGCCGCGUGCAGGAUGAAGGCCUCGGGUUGUAACUGCUUUGUACGGUACGAAAAGGCUACUGGUUAUACCUGGGCGUCAUGACGGUACCGUAAGAAUAAGCACGGCUAACUACGUGCCAGCAGCCGCGGU